CAAAGUGUAGCUUAAUUAAAGCCUCUCGCUUACACCGAGCGUAUAUCUGUUAGACCCAGAUCACUUUGA
RNAcentral lists this transfer RNA (69 nucleotides) under Scinax exiguus. RNAcentral describes it as "tRNA-Val". The record is from RNAcentral. Lineage: Eukaryota; Metazoa; Chordata; Amphibia; Anura; Hylidae.